RNAcentral lists this long non-coding RNA (406 nucleotides) under Medicago truncatula (barrel medic). RNAcentral describes it as "long non-coding RNA (MTRU_LNC007119)". Lineage: Eukaryota; Viridiplantae; Streptophyta; Magnoliopsida; Fabales; Fabaceae. The record is from RNAcentral.
CCAAAGUUCUGCUGAAAUUGUUCUGCAUUCAAAAGUUCACUUAGAAUUUCUUAUCAAAGUUCAUAUCUUAGAAAUUCUAGAGUCUUAAGAGUCUGUAUAUGAUUUGUAUUGUGAACACCACUGAUUGUAUAUCAAUUGUUCAACUUCAAACAUUUUUCUGUGUAAUUCUGUUUGAAUUAGAAGUCUCUUGCAGUUGUGCUUGAGCAUUAGAAGUCUCUUGAUUGUGUUCAGGAGCAUAGGAAGUCUCUUGCAGUUGUGCUUGAGCAUUUGAAGUUUCAUGCUAGUUUUAGCAAUGAGCAAUUGUAAUCAGAUAUUACAUAGUGAACUAUCCUUGGAAGUGCAAGGGGGACAUGACUAACUUCCGGUUUGUGGAAGGAACCUGUAUAAUUGCUUUGUGUCAUUCUUC